This is a non-coding RNA of Solanum lycopersicum (tomato), 457 nucleotides long. NCBI's taxonomy places the organism in Eukaryota, Viridiplantae, Streptophyta, Magnoliopsida, Solanales, Solanaceae. The record is from RefSeq and is a predicted model, not a curated record.
UCCACCAUACUACUACAAAUCACCACCCCCUCCAUCACCAUCUCCUCCACCACCCUACUACUACAAGUCUCCUCCACCACCAUCACCAUCUCCCCCUCCACCCUACUACUACAAGUCCCCUCCUCCACCGUCACCUUCUCCACCACCUCCGUACUACUACCACUCUCCACCUCCACCCCUGAAAUCACCUCCUCCACCGGUAUAUAUUUACGCUUCACCACCACCUCCCAUCCACUACUAAGAAACUUCAAGAGUUCAAUCAUUCUCCACAAUCAAUCAAGUUUUAGUUUGAAGCACAAAAUAAACGUCAAUGGAACAAUGCUUCAUAGUGUUUGAUUAUUUGUAAUUUAUUGUUGUAUUGAGGAUAUCCUCAUUUUUAUUCAUUCCUACUAAUUAAAUUGUAUUUCUUUAGUUUGUGCACGAAUCAAUAAGAAGAUCAUAACCAUGAUUAUUUCUC